AAAUUUUUUAUUGACUUUUUCGAAGUAAAUCGACCUGCUUUUCUAGAUGGUGUUAUAUAACAGUGACCUAAAGUGACCUACAAAUUUCGGCAGAGGGAGGUGUCAAUCUGUGCCUAUUCUAACUCUUCUAAGCAGAUACUGUAAUAGGUGCAAAAAUCGGUUCUGAUGAUGAUUUUAGUGAAAAGAGCAAUGUAAUUGAAAUAAACAGCUCCAAUUAUAAUUCUUUUUGUUAAUAAUCAUUGAAAUGAUUUCUUAAAAUUGAAAAGGUUGACAGAAGUAUAGUUGGGGUGCAUAUUAUAGUGCGCCUUUAAAAGCUAUUGUAUCCUCCAUUCUGUGCUUAAAGCCCACUGGUAAGUCUUAAUUCAUCAAGGAACUUUUAGGUUCAAAUUCGGUAUCAUUAACAAAUUGCAGAGGAAUAAAAAUUAACUAUUCACUGGUACUACAAUCUCCUGUACUUUUUAAUUGGAUAUUCAACAGAAAUGUUAAUUUCUUUUUUAAAUCUUGUAAUUCAACCAUAAAUGAUGAGAUACCGAAAGGAUGCCCUCCAUUCAAUAACAUCAUGGAUUUAUUUAUUGGACAAUGUAAAUCAAUUUUAGUGGAAAGAGCAAAGUGAUUGAAAUAAACAGCUCCAAUUAUAAUUGUUUUUGAUAAUAAUCAUUGAAAUAAUUGUAAAUAUUGUCUAUAUUAGAAUAAUCUAUCAUGUAAUAAAUUCUGUCCCUCCUUUUUCAACAUGUUUCAAACAUCUUCAAUAAACAACUAGGGCUCUGAUUCUUUUGUGAUUUGUCGAUA
Cimex lectularius (bed bug) is the source of this 789-nucleotide long non-coding RNA. RefSeq lists it as uncharacterized. The transcript is spliced from 3 exons. The record is from RefSeq and is a predicted model, not a curated record. Lineage: Eukaryota; Metazoa; Arthropoda; Insecta; Hemiptera; Cimicidae.